RNAcentral lists this long non-coding RNA (241 nucleotides) under Salvia miltiorrhiza (redroot sage). Its description in RNAcentral is "long non-coding RNA (SMIL_LNC011446)". Lineage: Eukaryota; Viridiplantae; Streptophyta; Magnoliopsida; Lamiales; Lamiaceae. The record is from RNAcentral.
AACCAGGGGGCUUAGCCCACUGGCCACCGGGUCCUCACUUAAGUGAAGUGACCCGGGUUCGAUCCCUCUUGGGAACGAAUUGGUGAUUGGAGAUAUAAGGUGGAGUUUGGUGAAUGGAGAGAUAAGGUGGUUCUUGGAGUGGAUGGGGAACUAACUACUAACAUCUAACAUGACUUUGACCGAUCAAAAAAAAAAAAAAAAAAAAAAAAAAAAAAAAAAAAAAAAAAAAAAAAAAAAGUAA